This 253-nucleotide ribosomal RNA is filed under the name uncultured bacterium. Its description in RNAcentral is "partial 16S ribosomal RNA". It matches the Rfam family "Bacterial small subunit ribosomal RNA", at positions 524 to 776 of the family's 1533-position model. The record is from RNAcentral.
UACGUAGGGGGCAAGCGUUGUCCGGAUUUAUUGGGCGUAAAGAGCGUGUAGGCGGCCUGACAAGUCUGCUGUGAAAACUCGAGGCUCAACCUCGAGAUGUCGGCGGAAACUGUCUGGCUAGAGUCCGGAAGAGGAGAGUGGAAUUCCUGGUGUAGCGGUGAAAUUCGUAGAUAUUCGGAAGAACACCAGUGGCGAAGGCGGCUCACUGGCCCGGUACUGACGCUGAGAUACGAAAGCGUGGGGAGCAAACAGG